Molecule: small RNA, 89 nt
Filed under: Salmonella enterica subsp. enterica serovar Kentucky
Lineage: Bacteria; Pseudomonadati; Pseudomonadota; Gammaproteobacteria; Enterobacterales; Enterobacteriaceae
Description: partial RtT sRNA
Rfam family: RtT RNA
About the family: This family represents a bacterial cis-regulatory element known as RtT RNA.
Source: RNAcentral
AUAUCUUUCUGUACGGGAAGGAUGAGAAGCUUCGACUAAGGUUCGAUUCGAGCGCAGCGAGAAAGCGUUGCCGUAGGCAACGACCCGAA